Long non-coding RNA from Scylla paramamosain (green mud crab), 1225 nucleotides. RefSeq lists it as uncharacterized. Lineage: Eukaryota; Metazoa; Arthropoda; Malacostraca; Decapoda; Portunidae. The record is from RefSeq and is a predicted model, not a curated record. The transcript has 2 exons.
GGAAGAAUCAGAGGGUUGGAGCAUGGAUGGAGGAAAUACAAGGACAGGAAUAAACAGAUGGAUAAAUAAAUAGAGAAAGUAAAGGAGGCUUGGAAAAUAUUAAACUGUUGAGGAAAUGUAGGAGAGCUGGAAAGUACUUGAUAGAAUAAUGACAUUACAAAAAGUAAUUAGUGACGUGACAGAUCUGGUGAUAUAAAAGAAGUUGAAAAUGAAUGAAAAUAUUGAUGAUGCUAUUGUUAAUGAUGUCUUGAUUGUAAUGUAGCACAAUCUGCCACCAGGAAAGCCUUCAGGUUGUUGAGAAAUGACCCAAGAAUCUUCAGGGAGACUGCAUCAAACAGUAUGGUCAACGCUAACACCUAUAGAUAUCUAGUGCCUGGCUUCCUGCCCUGUCCAUCGUCAUCCAUUAGCGACGGCGUUAAGGGCGGCUUCAUCUCAGCCUCAUGUCAUAGCAAGCAUCCUUCAUCUCCUUACAUCAACAUUAUCUCAACACCAACCGUACAAGAAACUCGCUGACUUAGGCCUCGUCCUGAUCCUCGCCCUCACCGCCAGCUCCUUUCCUUCCUCAUUGACAAACUCGCUUGCACAACAACAACUGCUUUCACCCGCCUGAUGGUAACAAUGUGUAUGUAUGUGUAUGCAUGUAAUUAACGUUAAUUUAUAUCUUUUUGUGUGUGAUUAUGUAUAUCUUUGAAAACGAUCAUUCACAUCAAAGCGUGAUUGCUCUCUGUGUGACAAUGGCUCAACUCAAGCAAGUCUGCACGAGCUGCGGCUCAACACACUUUGCUACAAAAUGCAAAGGUUACAGUAAUUCUUGUAUUAAUAUUAUAAAGCAAUAAACUUUACUUACUUACCUACACACACACACACACACACACACACACACACAGACACACACACAUGAAAAAAAAAAUAUAUAUAAAGAAAUUAUUUGGAACCGUUCAGUUAAACCCCUAAGGAGCAAAAAGAAAUUCGAGGGAUUAUUUUCUGGAAAGGAAAAAAAAAUAGGUAAUUUCAGAAAGGAAGAUUAAAAUAUAUUGAAAAGAAAUAGACUAAAAUAUGUUAUUCCUAAGAAAAAAAAUGUACUUAACGAUUUUUCUAUUUAUUUUCAUUGAUGUAAUAGAAAAUUCCUUAAUAUUUCCCACCUACUCGAAUUAUUCUUUAUCAAAACUGUGUAACGUAAAAUUUUUGUCUUGUUCGCACCGGUGUAAUAAACAUAAAUCCUGAA